UGAGAUUCUGCAGCCAAGAAGAAAAGCUCUUCCAGGACACUUACGACUGGGCCUCUCAAGAGAGUAAGAAAAAUGUUUUUCCUAUUUUACCAGCCAAGGAGAAAAGCCAGAGAGGAAAGUUUUAUAAAUACUGAAAAUGGAUGAAAACAUGCAAGUCUUUGCUACAAUCUAGACACAAUUCUUAACAGAGAUGACAAUGUCAUAAAAAGAAGAAAUGGUCUACGAUGCUCAGAUUUCUUUAAGAAAAGGUGGUGAGCUGCAUUUCCUGAGUCUCAGUCAACUUCCCAGCAGGAAUUCCAGUCUGAUGAAGAAUCAGCAAAAGGAAGCCCUCACUGAGAGACACACUGGUAUCAUUCACUGAGUGGAGACAGUGAAAGAGCAAC
This is a non-coding RNA of Vicugna pacos (alpaca), 383 nucleotides long. The record is from RefSeq and is a predicted model, not a curated record. NCBI's taxonomy places the organism in Eukaryota, Metazoa, Chordata, Mammalia, Artiodactyla, Camelidae.